This 253-nucleotide ribosomal RNA is filed under the name uncultured microorganism. Its description in RNAcentral is "partial 16S ribosomal RNA". It matches the Rfam family "Bacterial small subunit ribosomal RNA", at positions 524 to 776 of the family's 1533-position model. The record is from RNAcentral.
UACGUAGGGUGCGAGCGUUAAUCGGAAUUACUGGGCGUAAAGCGUGCGCAGGCGGUUUGUUAAGCGAGAUGUGAAAGCCCCGGGCUCAACCUGGGAACCGCAUUUCGAACUGGCAAACUAGAGUCUUGUAGAGGGGGGUAGAAUUCCAGGUGUAGCGGUGAAAUGCGUAGAGAUCUGGAGGAAUACCGGUGGCGAAGGCGGCCCCCUGGGCCGGUACUGACGCUCAUGCACGAAAGCGUGGGGAGCAAACAGG